Meleagris gallopavo (turkey) is the source of this 662-nucleotide non-coding RNA. The record is from RefSeq and is a predicted model, not a curated record. NCBI's taxonomy places the organism in Eukaryota, Metazoa, Chordata, Aves, Galliformes, Phasianidae.
CCACAAUAUUUCAAAGACAUGGAAACUGCUGCAAUACUUAUUCAAGGCACUUCAGUACAGAGCUUCUGAACAUUAUAUAAACCAAGAUGAAAUUCCUGCCUGAGGUUACAGCAAAUUCCUCGCUCAACAGACAUGCUUGAGGUACAACUUGUGUUUAUAUUAGAAAAAGAAAAAAUUCAUGCAGAUUUGUCCUGAGCCAAGCCAUCAUUCUGAAAAUCCUCUUCCCUCUGCCUGAAGGUGAAAUUGACAUCUACAACCUUGAUCUCUUCCCUCUAAAUUGCUGUCCUAUCUCUGGAGUCAGUAUGUAAGGAUGAAGAGUCCUUCCAACCAAAGAGCUGAGACAGAUGAUAUUAAGAUCACUCAUCCUGCAUAUGGAUAUCUGAAUUCCAGCCACAGGUAAGCUGAAAUAUCUAAAGCAAAAAUACAAAAAAGAUUCCCCUCCUCUUUAGACAGCAUAAUGACUACUCAACAGUUCAUGCUACUCUUUCAGUGUUCAUCAAAUCAAGUGGAGGAAUUGAGAGAGCUUAAAUCAGGCUACAUAAGCUGACUUUUUUUUUCCCCAUCAUGUUCCAAAACAGUAUGUGGGUUUUUCCAAUCUACUGAAGGAAAGAGGGGCCUACCCUCCAACAGCACUUCUUUUUUUUUUUUUUUUUUUUACAAAC